Molecule: ribosomal RNA, 718 nt
Filed under: uncultured Sneathia sp.
Lineage: Bacteria; Fusobacteriati; Fusobacteriota; Fusobacteriia; Fusobacteriales; Leptotrichiaceae
Description: bacterial SSU rRNA
Rfam family: Bacterial small subunit ribosomal RNA
Source: RNAcentral
ACGCUGACAGAAUGCUUAACACAUGCAAGUCGAUGAUGGGAGCUAGCUUGCUAGAAGAAGUCAUGGCGGACGGGUGAGUAACGUGUAAAGAACUUACCAUAUAGACUGGGAUAACAGAGGGAAACUUCUGAUAAUACUGGAUAAGUUAGUAGUAGCAUUACUAAGUAAUGAAAGGUAGUAAUACGCUAUAUGAGAGCUUUGCAUCCUAUUAGCUAGUUGGUGGGGUAAAAGCCUACCAAGGCGAUGAUAGGUAGCCGGCCUGAGAGGGUGGACGGCCACAAGGGGACUGAGAUGCGGCCCUUACUCCUACGGGAGGCAGCAGUGGGGAAUAUUGGACAAUGGAGGCAACUCUGAUCCAGCAAUUCUGUGUGUGUGAAGAAGGUUUUAGGACUGUAAAACACUUUUAGUAGGGAAGAAAGAAAUGACGGUACCUACAGAAGAAGCGACGGCUAAAUACGUGCCAGCAGCCGCGGUAAUACGUAUGUCGCGAGCGUUAUCCGGAAUUAUUGGGCUUAAAGGGCAUCUAGGCGGUUAAACAAGUUGAAGGUGAAAACCUGUGGCUCAACCAUAGGCUUGCCUACAAAACUGUAUAACUAGAGUACUGGAAAGGUGGGUGGAGCUACACGAGUAGAGGUGAAAUUCGUAGAUAUGUGUAGGAAUGCCGAUGAUGAAGAUAACUCACUGGACAGCAACUGACGCUGAAGUGCGAAAGCUAGGG